Homalodisca vitripennis (glassy-winged sharpshooter) is the source of this 133-nucleotide long non-coding RNA. RefSeq lists it as uncharacterized. The record is from RefSeq and is a predicted model, not a curated record. The transcript is spliced from 2 exons. NCBI's taxonomy places the organism in Eukaryota, Metazoa, Arthropoda, Insecta, Hemiptera, Cicadellidae.
ACCUGAUUUAUGUGUGGUAAUGUAAUUAAUUUCAUAUCAUCAUAAUCAACAAUAUUCAAUCUGAGGGUGAAGCAACCACAAAAGUGAACUACGAGGCUGCAUGGAUAAAAAGCCAUAGCCUAAAAGAAGAAAG